UAAAAAGGGGAGCUUGAUUACAGGCUGAGAGGAAAUAAAUUUCGACCCAGGACCUGAUUUGGAUAAUGCCAACGUAGGGACAUAGCGAA
This 89-nucleotide non-coding RNA is filed under the name Lachnoclostridium edouardi. The record is from RNAcentral. Lineage: Bacteria; Bacillati; Bacillota; Clostridia; Lachnospirales; Lachnospiraceae.